GAGAUAAAAUAUUGUCAUAAAUAAGCACUAUGACAUAAAGCUCUCCAAAGCAUAGCAAAGAAUAAUGGCCUGUGUUGGUCCUUCAGGGGACAUGCAGAAUGGAAGAGAUAAACGCUUGCUGACCAUCAGGAAAUGGACAUAAUGGUCAAAGAAAGCUCAAGGCCAGCCCUGAUGUAAAGAAUGCAGCAGUAGACUCCACCUCUUGAGAGGGUAAGCUAAAAUGCAGUGUGUUCUUUUCUGAAAUCUACCCCAGCCGGUGAUGGGAAGUGCACUGUGAAGAUAGCUAGUGGAAUGAGAAGGAAGCCAGGAAACCAAGAGUUUGUAGAAGGGGCACAGAUAGAAAGAGAAGUAAAGUAAUGGAGUAAUGGGAGGUCAUAUAGACUGGCAAGAUUUGGUUAAGGUGAUACUGUAGCUUUCUCUGAAAUCCAACAUUUGUAGACUAAGUAAUAAUGAUUAAUAUUCUUGCCAAGUUUUCUAAAGGUUUCUUUAAAUUAUAUAUCAUUAAAUCUUAUCUCCCUAAACUAUCUCUAGAAUCCUUCUAUACCAGGUGUACCCCAUGUACCUAUGUUCAGACAGAGCUGCUCUCACCCUUGAUAGUGGCAACUUCAGAGUCAGGGGUAAAACUGACAUUCAUAUGUCCAAUAGAUACACAUAUCUUAGUUACAGACCUGGCAUCUUACCAAAUCUUUAUAUAUAGCUUUUGUUAAUAUAUGGCACCAUGUUCCAGGUGUUUUUAAUUUAAAGUUAAUAAAAUUCUAGAGCUAAAACUGCAGAUAUUUUCAACAAAUCCUGGGAAAUGGAGAAAAAUGGAGUAGAUGGUUAUAAAUAAGCUUAAGAUCUUAUGUAAUUUUCAGAGAGAG
This 860-nucleotide long non-coding RNA is filed under the name Homo sapiens (human). Its description in RNAcentral is "HSALNT0203847". The record is from RNAcentral. Lineage: Eukaryota; Metazoa; Chordata; Mammalia; Primates; Hominidae.